GAAACUUAAAGGAAGUUGACGGGGCCCGCACAAGCGGAGGAGCAUGUGGUUUAAUUCGAUGAUACGCGAGGAACCUUACCUGGGCUCGAACGUAAGAUGACUGUAGGUGAAAGCUUACAUCUCUUCGGAGCAUUUUACGAGGUGCUGCAUGGUUGUCGUCAGCUCGUGCCGUGAGGUGUCGGGUUAAGUCCCAUAACGAGCGCAACCCUACCUUUAGUUGCCAUCAGGUAAUGCUGGGGACUCUAAAGGAACUGCCUACGCAAGUAGUGAGGAAGCGGGGAUGACGUCAAAUCAGCACGGCCCUUACGUCCAGGGCUACACACGUGCUACAAUGGCCGAUACAGAGGGCAGCUACCUGGUGACAGGAUGCAAAUCUCCAAAGUCGGUCUCAGUUCGGAUCGGAGUCUGCAACCCGACUCCGUGAAGUUGGAUUCGCUAGUAAUCGCGCAUCAGCCAUGGCGCGGUGAAUACGUUCCCGGGCCUU
RNAcentral lists this ribosomal RNA (484 nucleotides) under uncultured Sphingobacteriales bacterium. Its description in RNAcentral is "bacterial SSU rRNA". It matches the Rfam family "Bacterial small subunit ribosomal RNA", at positions 896 to 1382 of the family's 1533-position model. Lineage: Bacteria; Pseudomonadati; Bacteroidota; Sphingobacteriia; Sphingobacteriales. The record is from RNAcentral.